GAAAACAAACUAACCAGGGAUUCUCUUAGUAACGGCGAGUGAAAAGAGAAGAGCCCAGAACCGAAGCCUGUUGUAAAUUAGCAGCAAGGCAAUGUGGUGUUUGGGUUGGCUGUUUGCGGGGCUGCUGUUCCAUUCGAAGUCCAGCACUGAGUAUGGUUACCUAAAAGUUGGCCCAAAGAGGGUGAAAGGCCCGUGCGAAUGGAGGAUCAGGUAUGUGUGAGGCAGUUCCCCCAGCUAAACCCUCGAGUCGGGUUGUUUGAGAUUGCAGCCCAAAGUGGGUGGUAGACCUCAUCCAAGGCUAAAUACUAGCACGAGUCCGAUAGCGAACAAGUACCGUGAGGGAAAGUUGAAAAGUACUUUGAAAAGAGAGUAAAGAGUUCGUGAAACCGCAUACAGGUAAACGGGUGGUGUCAAACUGCAAGCCCAGAGAAUUCAGUUGAUGAAGGCAGCUAGCUAACUAACUGAUAGGCAAGAUACUGCGUGCUGAUAGACUUGUUUUACUUGCUGUCAGAGCAGGCAGUUGUUAGCAUAGAGAUAGAGAGAGAGCUCUUUCAUCAAUGCACUUUCUCUGACUAGCCUAUAUGGCGGUGAACACCAUGACCGGCGGUAUUGCCAGUCUGUCUUGGCCAAUCAUGCGUAUCUAUCUAGGCAGAAAGGUUUUUUUUUAAAAAGCUUUUACUACCUACCUGGUUAGUGCGCAUUGACAUAUACAGGUAGAUUUAGUGGACGGUGUACUGAUAGUAACUGGAUGGGUUACCGGAAAGUCUAUUGGUGCAUGUAUUCGGUCACUAGCUACCAACGGUGUGCAUGCAAAUGUGGCGCAUUUAAUUAGGCGUCUACGUGCUCCGGUAGGCCAAGAUAGUAUGUGUAACUGUGCAAGGCGUCGGAGACAAUGGUCCUGCGCUGGUGUAUUAAUUGCGCUUUAUUGCUAUGCAUUCUGUGCUAUGCAUGAAGUGCUGUUGAUGCAUGCGGUUGCAGAAGCGUUAGCCUACUCACAUGUAGAACAGUGCAGCCAGGCUUUAAUAGCACUAGAACAGCCAGGAGUCAGGUAGGACUAAAUGCGCUAGCAGGAUUGGCGUGUUUUAUUAAGCUGACGCAAAUGUCGGCCCGCCAAUAGUCCUCUGGCUAUAGCCGGUGUUUGUAAGUGCUAGUUUGGUAUCUGGUGAGUGGGUAUUUGCUAACUCGGUGCAUAACUAACUUUAGUUGUUUACUAAUUGCUUGCGCAUAUCUAUGUGUCUAGCUGUUAGUGUACAGCUAGAGAGAGUGUUGCUUGAGUGUGCAGCGUAACUGCAUAGCCGUAUUAUGUAAAUAAAUGUAGGGGCCUUAAAGUCUAUGGUGUAGUGGUAGACUUGCCACCCGACCCGUCUUGAAACACGGACCAAGGAGUUUAACUUGUACGCGAGUCAUUGGACAGUACGAAAGCCAGCGGCACAGUGAAAGUAAAGCCUUGCAUUAUUAGCAAGGUGAGGUGGGAUCUUGUUCUAGUGCAUAAUUGCCUUCUUCUUUUUGUUAUGCAUUAGUGGAAGUGCAAAAGAUGCAAGUGCAAGCGCACCACCGGCCCGUUCCAUGGUGUAGUUAGCUUACUAAGCUAGUAAAUACUAGCUUAUUAAAAGCUGCGUCACCGGAGCGGAGCAGGAGCG
Molecule: ribosomal RNA, 1640 nt
Filed under: Gigantolina magna
Lineage: Eukaryota; Metazoa; Platyhelminthes; Cestoda; Amphilinidea; Amphilinidae
Description: partial 28S ribosomal RNA
Rfam family: Eukaryotic large subunit ribosomal RNA
Source: RNAcentral